GUAAUCCGCGCAUUCGUAGAGUACACAUGUUGCUUAAAAGGAGUGCUACCUAGCUGAUCGUACGUACACGUCAGUUUUGAUAUGAUGCGGCACACUGUAAAAAACUCAACUUACAACAUGCGUGUUGAUCCAAAAAGAAUUAUAAAGUAUUGCGCACACAAGACUUAAAAGUACUAUAGAGAGAAUUUCAACAAUAAUGUCAUUUCAACAAUAACAGUUUCUAAAGAAGCUAAAUUUCUAAGAAAAGAAGCAAGAUGAUGCUAAGUAUGAAGCUAAUCAAAGUAAGAGAAAACACAGAACACUGAAGUUGAACAAGCAUUGUUCGAUGGUAAGGCCAUAACCCAAUUGCGACCAUAGAAAAUCGAUGAAUAUAAAGAAAAGUAUUUUUCAAUGCAAAAUUUCCUAAGUUAACAGAAAUAUACCGUCGAAAGUAACAUAAAAUAUCAAGAUGUAAUGUAAGGUGCUAUAGAAAUAAUUUGCUGGCAAUUUGCGAGGGAGAGAAAAGUGGGCGAUUAACCGAUCGAUUUGGCGCCGUAACGAAAGUACAAAGGAAUUUUAUUUCUCACAGAAAAAUAGUCAUUGCAUGAUGUCUUGAUCGAAGUUCGCGCAAGCGCAAUUGAUUUUUCCAAGUAGUACGUCUUCGUGUUCUUCAUUAUGAUCCGCGCAUUCGUAGCGUACACAUGUUUCUUAAAAGGAGCACUACCUGGCUGAUCGUACGUACACGUCAGUUUUGAUAUGAUGAAAAAUAGUCAUUGCAUGAUGUCUUGACCGAAGUUCGCGCAAGCGCAAUUGAUGUUUCCAAGCAUUACGUCUUCGCGUUCUUCAUUGUAGUCCGCGCAUUCGUAGAGUACACAUGUUUCUUAAAAGGAGCACUACCUGGCUGAUCGUACGUACACGUCAGUUUUGAUAUGAUGUUGUCCAUGCAAAGCAAGAACAUGAUAUUGACAAAGUCGAACGGUAAGGUAUGAAAAUCCCGGCGCACAUGUACGCAGAAGGGCGUUUAACGAGAUAUACGCGGAUAAAUGGAUCGAACGCGGAGAAGCGAGUGAUUUGGCCAACGAGGUCUUCGGAUUUGACCCUGAACAGUGAACAGUUAUUACAGGAACAGGUUGCAGUGCUUGCAGGACAUUGUGCAGUGAAUAGAACAGUGAAUAGAAACACGCAGUGAACAGCCGCGAAAAAUUAAGAUCAAAUUGAAGUGUGCGCAAUGCGUGGGGCCCCUUCGACCCACCGUCAUUGAACGCGGGAAAAUUCUGCACGAGGAUAGGAUAACUACAACCCUUCGUAGCGCCGAUACUACGCCACCCUCGACAUUUUGCAAGAGAAACUAUCGUCUCAGAAUGACUUCAGGAAUCUACCAUUAACCGGCGAUACGAUACGUUGGCAACUUGGAUCACGCAGUGUCUGAAGAUUUAUUGUGUACGUUAUUCUCACAUAUUGGCACCGUCAUAAGUCGCAAAAUCAUCAGAGAGAAGCGUGUACCCACGUACGAACUUACGUGAAUGCACGUGAAAAACAACGGUCGAAUUGAAACACAAACGCCCACGAGCGUAUAUAAUUGCGAAACGUGUGGACAUGGCAAACGCGUGAGGCCACCAAAAACCGAGGAUGAAAUUUAUUAUUACUACACUAUAAAACGUAAAAUUAUACCAGUAUCAAGGAGAUUAGUGUUCAAACAAUCGUAUUUUGGGCCAGAAUAAAGUGAUAACAGAAGAUGAUGUUUUUUGAUAAUUGAUAAUUUAAGUUGAAGAGAUUUGGAGAGAGUUUUUCUGUUAUUGAGUCAAGAAAACUCGAAUCUCACAAACUUCCACUGCUACUCGUACGUGCGAAUCCAUAGAACAGACACGUCCUAUGGCAUGUAUAUUCGUUUCUUUCGGUUGAAAGGAAGGAUUUACAAAUCGAGCGAGCCUGAAGUCUCUGUUCCAUUCAAAGGGUGUAAAGGGAAUCGCUGCGUUGUCGCGCUGUCACGAAUGUGGCGGUUGUUGAGUGGUUAAAGCGAGGCGCAAUACAACGAUAAAUCAGGCGAAUGGAAAGCUAAGGAGUCAAAUAGAAAAAGCUCGUAGAGUAGAUUUGGAAACAUGCCAGAGUAACGAGCAGUCACCGGUUGACUCCAUGGUGUUUGCGGCCUUCGUGGUGGCCUCUUCGGUUGCUUCCAUCUUCUCUGUUUUAUUUCGUUUCCUUCUUCUGCUGUCUUUUCACAAUGUGUUUCCACGCUUCGUGUUUCGUACAGCUUUCCUCAUCAAUCCUUUCUUUCCUGUUGUCUUAGGUUCUCUUGUAUUUAGCCGCUGCUAAAUACAAGAGACCUACGUACAUAUUGUAGUCAGCAAAUCGUCAUUUGCACUCUGUAAAUCGCACAGUGACUUAUAUGUAGUUAUAAAUAAUAGCCAUCGCCUUCGCGGGAUUUUAAUUUAAGUGGCCCUCCGUUUGAAUGCCUUCUUUCACUUUCUCCUUUCACGUUCGCUCUUGGUUCGAGAGAAGGUAUCCCUUUUUUUCUCUUUUAGUAAAUUCUUAGUUCCUUUUACCCGGCUACGUUUCUGUUUCGGAUGUUUGAACGUUUAAUUUUAUCGGAGGAAAUUUUAAAGUUUGUCGAAAGUCAACGUUCCUCUCAAAAUUUCGUCACUGGUGACUAAUUAUUACUAAUGAAGAAAGUUUACAGGGUUUCGUUUUCACUCACAGUGGAUACAUUCCACGAUUUGUUUGGUAUCUUGCGGCGCAAUCUGUGUCGAAAACGAGUGACAAAACAACUUUUGGCUAUCUGAUAUCAAUUUUAUGGCACCUCUCCAUAUCUCUCCUUUCUUUUUCUUUAGUGUGUCACACUAUGAGUAUCCUACUUCUCUACAUUUUCGUUUUCUAUGCUUUCUGUUGGUCGAGAACGAUUAAUGCAAAUUUUAUUGCCAGAUUCCACCAGCACGUAUCACGGCGCAAUAACUUGGUUUGUCGUUGCCGUUUGCAAGCUGUGCAUGCUGACGCGAUUAGAAUUAAUUAAUUACGCGCCCUCGAUUUUUUACAAUUUCCAUCCCUCAGGGAUAGUUUGUUGACUAAAUCCUGUAAAGAGAGGAAAACAGAGAGACUGUUAUAUUUCUAAAUAUACUAUUGUUGUGUACCUACCAUUAAUUUCUUCCAAUCUAUGCAGAAAUUUAUUAGUAUAAUUUAUUAAGUGAAUACACUGAUCGUACUGUUUAAAAUUUAUUACAAUAUUUUUAAAAUACUAAUAUUUAAUAAAAUUUAAAGUUUAUUAUAAUAAACUUAUAAGAUUUUAUAUUAUGAUUUUGUUAUUAAUAUAUUUUCAUUGUUACUAAUUAUUUGUUAUUCUUGUUUGGUUCAUCUACACAAUAGCAUUUAUAUAAUAUUUUUAUUACAUAGUAUUUAUUUUAAUUGCAAUUUUUAAUCUGUUUUCGUUCUUUUCAUAAUUUCUUUUCAUAAUAACACGUGUUACCACAAGAUUAGGUCAACGUACAUGCCGAAUUAUCAAUUGCUUGAAUUUUAGGUAAGAUGGUGAGAGUGGGUAUGAUGAUAAAUCAUCAAAUACUUCGAAACAUUUCCAAAGAAAGACAAACAUAGGACGUAGCGAGGUAGAAGUGAGCAAUUGGAAAUAUCCGAAAAUGAGGUCGUCACGAAAGUUCAGGAACCGACGAUCGAGAGUCAGGUUUGGAUCAUCGACUUUCUUCUCUGCAAACAGGUUUCAUCGAUGAGAGGGGUAUUUGACCUUGAGAACUCUGACCGUGAUCCAGAAAUUAAUGCGACUUCCUCGUCCGUUCGAAUCGACGUAAUUCUCAGUUCCAAUUACUUUCCUUACUAAUGGAUCGUUUUUGAUCUUGACGUUUUAUUAAUCAUAAAAACAAUUGCAGCGUAUUGGAUAGUAAUAAAGACAAUAAUAAAAAGGAUUACGAUUUUAAAUGUUGCACAUACUUUUGUAAUAUAAUUAUAAGAGUUAAUUACACGAGAAAGAAAAUCAUGUUAAUGGAGUAGUAGGAUAAGGCCAAUAUAAUGAAAUACUAUUACAA
Long non-coding RNA from Ooceraea biroi (clonal raider ant), 4004 nucleotides. RefSeq lists it as uncharacterized. The record is from RefSeq and is a predicted model, not a curated record. NCBI's taxonomy places the organism in Eukaryota, Metazoa, Arthropoda, Insecta, Hymenoptera, Formicidae.